Vespa mandarinia (Asian giant hornet) is the source of this 919-nucleotide long non-coding RNA. NCBI's taxonomy places the organism in Eukaryota, Metazoa, Arthropoda, Insecta, Hymenoptera, Vespidae. The record is from RefSeq and is a predicted model, not a curated record.
AUUAUUUAAGUUUCUCGUGCGUUAUAAUGUCUCAGCUUAUGUACUAUUGUUUAAAUAUUAAUUAAUUCAUUUUACUUCGUGUACAUUAUAGAAUGUUAAAAUAGUAUUAAAAUUAUCGAAAGUAUUAAUUUCUAAGUCUUCACGUCUAUGAAGACAGAGCUACGAUGCUUACUCUCCAAAAUCCAAAAGAAAACAUUGUUUCGAUAACAAUCAAAGUCCGUUCGUUUCUGUUGACGUAAACAGACAAUGGUCGUACUUUUCAUUGAUAUUAGAAGAUGGCAACGGUUCGGAGUUCAAUAUUUAAUCGUAUUGAAAUGUUAAGAUAAAAUUAUUUCAUAUUUAACGCGUAAAAAGUAGAAUUUAUUAAAUACCUAAAUGUACAAUAGAGUAAUUGAUGUAACAGAAGAGUUUCUGAACGGAGAAAAUAAGGAAGAAUAACAAAAGGAAUGAGAAAAGAGGACGGACCAUGUUCCAAUAAUCUCGUAGAACGUUUUUAGAAUUGGCGAGCCGCCAGUCUUUAUGCGUUAAGUUAAAAUUAAACGACACCAGGUGGAGAUUGAGAUUAUGCGCUCGAGUUAGUGUCUGCGACAUGUCUAGAGCAGCCGACGAAGGAACGAAAGCUUUUGUUUGCGAGAAAAGAAAAGAACAAAAAUAGGACUUACAGAACACCGUCCUGUCCAUGAUGUAGGCAUCACUGAGCCCAACUUUGACAGGAUGUGUAGUGUCUUCUAUUUGUUCUAUUAUGAAAGGAAUAACGGAAUACACGAAGACGAUGUCACCGUUCUGAUGCAGAGUUACCUGGAAAGUGAAUGAACUGUCGGCGUGCUUCUCCUGUAGAUGAACUUUUUCCCAUUCGACCGUAAAUGACGUACCUAGAAAUAUGAAAAAUAUUCGAUAAAUAUAUAAAAAUGAUAGGGAA